RNAcentral lists this ribosomal RNA (440 nucleotides) under uncultured bacterium. Its description in RNAcentral is "partial 16S ribosomal RNA". It matches the Rfam family "Bacterial small subunit ribosomal RNA", at positions 338 to 795 of the family's 1533-position model. The record is from RNAcentral.
CCUACGGGAGGCAGCAGUGGGGAAUAUUGCACAAUGGGGGAAACCCUGAUGCAGCGACGCCGCGUGAGUGAGGAAGUAUUUCGGUAUGUAAAGCUCUAUCAGCAGGGAAGAAAAUGACGGUACCUGACCAAGAAGCCCCGGCUAACUACGUGCCAGCAGCCGCGGUAAUACGUAGGGGGCAAGCGUUAUCCGGAUUUACUGGGUGUAAAGGGAGCGUAGACGGUUAAUCAAGUCAGAAGUGAAAGGCCGGGGCUCAACCUUGGGACUGCUUUGGAAACUGAGUAGCUGGAGUGCAGGAGAGGUAAGCGGAAUUCCUAGUGUAGCGGUGAAAUGCGUAGAUAUUAGGAGGAACACCAGUGGCGAAGGCGGCUUACUGGACUGUAACUGACGUUGAGGCUCGAAAGCGUGGGGAGCAAACAGGAUUAGAUACCCCGGUAGUC